This 426-nucleotide ribosomal RNA is filed under the name uncultured Azovibrio sp. RNAcentral's name for it is "bacterial SSU rRNA". It matches the Rfam family "Bacterial small subunit ribosomal RNA", at positions 356 to 774 of the family's 1533-position model. Lineage: Bacteria; Pseudomonadati; Pseudomonadota; Betaproteobacteria; Rhodocyclales; Rhodocyclaceae. The record is from RNAcentral.
GGGGAAUAUUGGACAAUGGGCGAAAGCCUGAUCCAGCCAUGCCGCGUGUGUGAAGAAGGUCUUCGGGUUGUAAAGCUCUUUCGGCCGGGAAGAAAUCGUGCAGGCUAAUACCCUGUAUGGAUGACGGUACCGGAAUAAGAAGCACCGGCUAACUCCGUGCCAGCAGCCGCGGUAAUACGUAGGGUGCGAGCGUUAAUCGGAAUUACUGGGCGUAAAGCGUGCGCAGGCGGUUUUGUAAGACAGGCGUGAAAUCCCCGGGCUCAACCUGGGAACUGCGCUUGUGACUGCAAGACUAGAGUACGGCAGAGGGGGGUGGAAUUCCACGUGUAGCAGGGAUAUGCGUUGAGAUGUGGAGGAACACCAACGGCGACGGCAGCCCCCUGGGUCGAUACUGACGCUCAUGCACGAAACCGUGGCGAGCAAACA